RNAcentral lists this long non-coding RNA (413 nucleotides) under Trifolium pratense (red clover). RNAcentral's name for it is "long non-coding RNA (TPRA_LNC012282)". Lineage: Eukaryota; Viridiplantae; Streptophyta; Magnoliopsida; Fabales; Fabaceae. The record is from RNAcentral.
UCUUGAUAUCAACUCUUGAGUUACAGCAAUAUUGUUCAAAAUUGAGAUAGUUCAGAAGAAAACCAUACUUGAUUAACAGCACGAUGCAAAUGGAUAGUGGAAGAUUGUUCAGCAUGAACACUGAUUAUGUCAGCUCCAGCUUUGAUGAAAUCUGGCACCCGCAGGUCUGGUUCUACAAUCAUCUACAGCGCUUUAACUAGAGUUAGAAAAAGCAAUCAUCAUUCAAUAUCAGAUUAAUUUAACAUAUGUAUAAAGAUGAAUACCAAGUGAACAUCCAAAGGUAGAUCCGUCACAGGGCGCAAUGCAUCAACCACAAGAGGUCCAAUUGUAAUAUUUGGAACAAAGCGACCAUCCAUAACAUCAACAUGAAUCCAAUCACAACCUGCCAACUCCACUGCUUUCACCUAGGAAAG